This 287-nucleotide ribosomal RNA is filed under the name uncultured bacterium. RNAcentral describes it as "partial 16S ribosomal RNA". It matches the Rfam family "Bacterial small subunit ribosomal RNA", at positions 796 to 1081 of the family's 1533-position model. The record is from RNAcentral.
CACGCUGUAACGAUGGGCACUAGGUGUCCGGGGUAUUGACCCCCUGGGUGCCGCAGCUAACGCAUUAAGUGCCCCGCCUGGGGAGUACGGUCGCAAGAUUAAAACUCAAAGGAAUUGACGGGGGCCCGCACAAGCGGUGGAGCAUGUGGUUCAAUUCGACGCAACGCGAAGAACCUUACCUGGGCUAGACAACGGCGGACCGUCCUAGAAAUAGGACUUUCCCUUCGGGGACUGCCGGUUCAGGUGCUUCAUGGCUGUCGUCAGCUCGUGCCGUGAGGUGUUGGGUU